This 540-nucleotide ribosomal RNA is filed under the name Xylaria feejeensis. RNAcentral's name for it is "eukaryotic LSU rRNA". The stretch from base 176 to 329 matches the Rfam family "5.8S ribosomal RNA". The record is from RNAcentral. Lineage: Eukaryota; Fungi; Ascomycota; Sordariomycetes; Xylariales; Xylariaceae.
CGUUAUAACUCCUAAACCCCAUGUGAACAUACUUAACGUUGCCUCGGCGGGUCGUACCUACCUUGUAGCGCCUACUUGUUAGGCGCCUACCCGGUAGGCGCGGGAAAGCCCGCCGGUGCCCCACGAAACUCUGUUUAAGUACUAGAUGUCUGAAUUAUAACUAAAUAAACUUAAAAACUUUCAACAACGGAUCUCUUGGUUCUGGCAUCGAUGAAGAACGCAGCGAAAUGCGAUAAGUAAUGUGAAUUGCAGAAUUCAGUGAAUCAUCGAAUCUUUGAACGCACAUUGCGCCCAUUAGUAUUCUAGUGGGCAUGCCUGUUCGAGCGUCAUUUCAACCCUUAAGCCUUCUGUUGCUUAGCGUUGGGGGCCUACUGUGUAGCGGUAGCCCUUUAAAAUCAGUGGCGGAGUCGGUUCACACUCUAGACGUAGUAAAUAUUAUCUCGCCUAUUAGUUGGACCGGUCCCCUGCCGUAAAACACCUAAUUUCUCAAGGUUGACCUCGGAUCAGGUAGGAAUACCCGCUGAACUUAAGCAUAUCAAA